Bradysia coprophila is the source of this 799-nucleotide long non-coding RNA. RefSeq lists it as uncharacterized. The record is from RefSeq and is a predicted model, not a curated record. NCBI's taxonomy places the organism in Eukaryota, Metazoa, Arthropoda, Insecta, Diptera, Sciaridae.
AUAAUAUCGUCACAGCGACGAUAUUAUCGUUUCAAAAACGAUAUUAUCGUCCCCGACGAUAAUACACUCGGAGAUUUUUCCCUAGCCCAUGAAUUUCAUGCGGGGUUCUUAGCAACCCAAAGUUUGGAAAAGUCUUUUCGUUUAAACUUAAUUUUUUGGUAAUUUCCUUUCGCUGCAGUCUAAAUUCGUUUUGAAAUGACAAAAUUUGAACUCAAACAAAAUUCUCUCAGUCCAGUUAAUCAAUUCAUAAAAUCUAUCAGCUCAUUUUUCCACAAUUUGAAUUCAAAAUUUGAUAACUAUGCUUGUACCAGUAGCAUAUUUAAACCAGCCGGGCUGUACGUUAUGAUCGUUACCGUCUAUAUGUUUAUAUCCAACAUUGUCGGAUUCAUCAGAAUGGUGAUAGAACGAACGGAUGUCAUAUCGACAAAUCAGUCGAAGAAUCUUUACGAGUUGACAAACUUGACGAUAUUCCAUGUGAUCCCUUGGUUAAACUUCAACGUUCAUGACAUAAAAUUGGUUCUUCAAUAUUGUGAAGUUCUGCGGCUUUACUGGAUGUUCAAAGAUUUUAUGCAGGAUAAUUUCGAAUCCUUAGAAGCCCUAGGCGACACCUUCAAUUUAGUUCAAUAUCCGAUACGUUUAAUAAUCGCCGUGGUACGUUGCUCGUUUUCCGAAAAUGGUUCUAUCGAAUUUGCGUUGAUCACUAGCGAGAUGCUCGAUAUGCUGCUCAAAAUUGUUGACUGGUCAAUGCUACGAUGCUAUGUAUUCAAUGCUACGAAGUAAAUCGUUUGACGAAUAAAAA